RNAcentral lists this ribosomal RNA (929 nucleotides) under Stachybotrys chartarum. Its description in RNAcentral is "partial large subunit ribosomal RNA". It matches the Rfam family "Eukaryotic large subunit ribosomal RNA", at positions 108 to 1075 of the family's 3401-position model. Lineage: Eukaryota; Fungi; Ascomycota; Sordariomycetes; Hypocreales; Stachybotryaceae. The record is from RNAcentral.
CUCAAAUUUGAAAUCUGGCCCCAGGCCCGAGUUGUAAUUUGCAGAGGAUGCUUUUGGCGCGGUGCCUUCCGAGUUCCCUGGAACGGGACGCCAUAGAGGGUGAGAGCCCCGUCUGGUUGGAUACCAAGCCUUUGUAAAGCUCCUUCGACGAGUCGAGUAGUUUGGGAAUGCUGCUCUAAAUGGGAGGUAUAUGUCUUCUAAAGCUAAAUACCGGCCAGAGACCGAUAGCGCACAAGUAGAGUGAUCGAAAGAUGAAAAGCACUUUGGAAAGAGAGUUAAACAGCACGUGAAAUUGUUAAAAGGGAAGCGUUUAUGACCAGACUUGGGCCGGUUAAUCAUCCAGCGUUCUCGCUGGUGCACUUUGCCGGUCCAGGCCAGCAUCAGUUCGCUGCGGGGGAUAAAGGCGUCGGGAAUGUGGCUCCUCUGGAGUGUUAUAGCCCUUCGCGCAAUACCCUGCGGUGGACUGAGGUUCGCGCAUCUGCAAGGAUGCUGGCGUAAUGGUCAUCAACGACCCGUCUUGAAACACGGACCAAGGAGUCGUCUUCGUAUGCGAGUGUUCGGGUGUAAAACCCCUACGCGUAAUGAAAGUGAACGCAGGUGAGAGCUUCGGCGCAUCAUCGACCGAUCCUGAUGUUCUCGGAUGGAUUUGAGUAAGAGCAUACGGGGCCGGACCCGAAAGAAGGUGAACUAUGCCUGUAUAGGGUGAAGCCAGAGGAAACUCUGGUGGAGGCUCGCAGCGGUUCUGACGUGCAAAUCGAUCGUCAAAUAUGGGCAUGGGGGCGAAAGACUAAUCGAACCUUCUAGUAGCUGGUUUCCGCCGAAGUUUCCCUCAGGAUAGCAGUGUUGAACUCAGUUUUAUGAGGUAAAGCGAAUGAUUAGGGACCAGGGGGCGCUAUUUAGCCUUCAUCCAUUCUCAACUUUAAUAUGUA